UCAAACUUGGUCAUUUAGAGGAAGUAAAAGUCGUAACAAGGUCUCCGUUGGUGAACCAGCGGAGGGAUCAUUACAGAGAGAGUCGCCCCGGACUCCCCACACCCCCGUGAACGUACCCGCGUCGCCUCGGCGGCGGCCCUCGCCCCGCCGGCGGCCCGUCAAACCCUGUCUGACGUGGAAAUUCUGAACUGCGAAGCAAAACAGUUAAAACUUUCAACAACGGAUCUCUUGGUUCUGGCAUCGAUGAAGAACGCAGC
This 257-nucleotide unclassified non-coding RNA is filed under the name uncultured fungus. RNAcentral describes it as "partial contains small subunit ribosomal RNA, internal transcribed spacer 1, and 5.8S ribosomal RNA". The stretch from base 1 to 73 matches the Rfam family "Eukaryotic small subunit ribosomal RNA", at positions 1759 to 1831 of the family's 1831-position model. The record is from RNAcentral. Lineage: Eukaryota; Fungi.